AUGCUGAACUUGCAGUUUCCCAUCUUAAAUCAGCAUGGAAACACCCAAUCCUGUUUUCAUUUGCACAGUGAGGGUUUGAAGCUGGAAUGGAAAGUGCCAGGCUCCUUUGUGGACUGGAGACAAACCCUAACACUGCCCUUCUUCAAAGGAGGAAGAAAUGGGAGUUCUGCAGCCACCUGUGCUAGAUCAUACAGAUAUGGGACCUGGGGGCUGUUUCUAAUGGCUCUGCAGUGGGAACAUCUUGCAAAAAGAAAGGCAAUACUGAUAUGCAAGCAGUGAAAUGGUGUGUGCCACUUGUGCUGCUGACAGACCUCAGGACUCCCUCACAUGACUGGAUUUGUCAGGAUCAGGACACAUGGGAACUUAUUUUAUCUGUGUCAAAACCCACCCAAACACCCAAAGCAGAUUCCAGGUGCAACAGGUGAGAAUUUGGUCUGGUUUAAAUGUACUUUAUUGGUAUUGCCCAAACCUGUAACAUGCUUGGCCCAAGGGUGGACCUGCAUUGAAUUACACCAUCUUUUUGCAUUAUCUACCUUCCAGACCAUGGCAAAGGCACUGACUGAUGUGUUUCAGCAGGUAUUUUUUUCCCUGUCG
RNAcentral lists this long non-coding RNA (594 nucleotides) under Parus major (Great Tit). RNAcentral's name for it is "lncRNA (ENSPMJG00000001404.1)". Lineage: Eukaryota; Metazoa; Chordata; Aves; Passeriformes; Paridae. The record is from RNAcentral.